RNAcentral lists this ribosomal RNA (343 nucleotides) under Escherichia coli. RNAcentral's name for it is "bacterial SSU rRNA". It matches the Rfam family "Bacterial small subunit ribosomal RNA", at positions 1 to 340 of the family's 1533-position model. Lineage: Bacteria; Pseudomonadati; Pseudomonadota; Gammaproteobacteria; Enterobacterales; Enterobacteriaceae. The record is from RNAcentral.
AAAUUGAAGAGUUUGAUCAUGGCUCAGAUUGAACGCUGGCGGCAGGCCUAACACAUGCAAGUCGAACGGUAACAGGAAACAGCUUGCUGUUUCGCUGACGAGUGGCGGACGGGUGAGUAAUAUCUGGGAAACUGCCUGAUGGAGGGGGAUAACUACUGGAAACGGUAGCUAAUACCGCAUAACGUCGCAAGACCAAAGAGGGGGACCUUAGGGCCUCUUGCCAUCGGAUGUGCCCAGAUGGGAUUAGCUAGUAGGUGGGGUAAAGGCUCACCUAGGCGACGAUCCCUAGCUGGUCUGAGAGGAUGACCAGCCACACUGGAACUGAGACACGGUCCAGACUCCU